AUUGAACGCUGGCGGCAGGCCUAACACAUGCAAGUCGAGCGGUUGAAGGAAGCUUGCUUCCUGAUUCAGCGGCGGACGGGUGAGUAAUGCCUAGGAAUCUGCCUGGUAGUGGGGGACAACGUUUCGAAAGGAACGCUAAUACCGCAUACGUCCUACGGGAGAAAGCAGGGGACCUUCGGGCCUUGCGCUAUCAGAUGAGCCUAGGUCGGAUUAGCUAGUUGGUGAGGUAAUGGCUCACCAAGGCGACGAUCCGUAACUGGUCUGAGAGGAUGAUCAGUCACACUGGAACUGAGACACGGUCCAGACUCC
Molecule: ribosomal RNA, 309 nt
Filed under: uncultured Pseudomonas sp.
Lineage: Bacteria; Pseudomonadati; Pseudomonadota; Gammaproteobacteria; Pseudomonadales; Pseudomonadaceae
Description: bacterial SSU rRNA
Rfam family: Bacterial small subunit ribosomal RNA
Source: RNAcentral